Long non-coding RNA from Populus trichocarpa (black cottonwood), 2840 nucleotides. RefSeq lists it as uncharacterized. The transcript is spliced from 5 exons. Lineage: Eukaryota; Viridiplantae; Streptophyta; Magnoliopsida; Malpighiales; Salicaceae. The record is from RefSeq and is a predicted model, not a curated record.
UCCAAACCUACAAAUAAUCUUUAAACAAAAACCCAAGCCCAGAGUCACAACCUCCCGCCCUUGGGAAAUGCCAGGACUCACACAAACUCCUCAGUCCUCACCGUUUCCCUCUUCCGCUGUCAAAUCACAAACUGAUGAUUCAAAGACGAAACGCUGCGAAUUCUCGAAUCAGUUCUGGUCUUUAAAGACUUGAAAUCGAUGAUCGAAACACGAUCGGAUUUGAAACAGUCCAUGAGAUCCGAAUCUUUCUCUAUCAUCCACCAAAUCAAGAUAAAAUUGUCAAACAGAAGCUUUUCACUCUCCAAUUAUGUGUUGGCGCUUUCGCUCUCACAGGCGAUAUUGAGGCAGCCACAAACUCCUUGUCAAAUUUUAUCCGUCAAUUAAUUAAAUUACUAGCAAUCUCUACAUGAAUUAUGUGUGCAGAGUUGUUUGUCGCUGAAAUAAGAGGCAUUGCUUUUGCGUGAUGUUAAGUCUACCGGUGAAAAAUCGCUACUAGUUUCGUAUCUGGAAUGGCUAAAUUUUGAUCGCCAUUGACUUGAUAACGGCUUCUAUUCUAUUGCUAUACAGUCGUGUGAAAAGUCCCUAGCAUGUUUUGAAAAGAAUGACAUUGCAGAUACGAAAACAGGUGAGUUCUUCGAAAAUGCUCAGAUUAUUGAAGAGAUAAAGAGGUUCAAGAACCGUGACGUGAAAGUCUGCAGCUUCAGGUUCUGGUAUGUUUCUAUUCUCUUGUUUUUAAUCUUUUUACAUGGAUGCAUAGCAUCUGAUCAGCUAUGAUAAUCAAUCAGGCUUAUGAAAUGCGUACUUCAAUGAUAGCUUGUGCUGUGUUACACACACACACACGCACACACAGCUUUGAUCUCUUAGUUUUAUGUUGAUUUUGGAAGCGAAUAUUAUACAUUCUACAUGCCACGUUCUGCUGAUAAAGAUAGAAGUGCAAACAAGAGAGCACAGUUUGAAGUGUACUGCAGGAUACUUUAAUCGUUGCUGCAAGGAAGAAAGCCUACUGGGCUUGUCGAAUUUGGUGUUCGAAAUUCAUAAACUGCAGCGAAAUGAAAUUAAGCUUGUAGAGAUCGUGGAUGCAAUGGAAUGGUAAAAUUUAUGCUGGCACUGAUGAUGAGAUUACAAGUUCUCACUUCAAAAGCUAAUUCAUGUGAAAAAGACUGCCAUUAUGUUGUGCCAGUUUUCGAUGCACAUAUUGGUGAAAUUUUUUGAUAUUAUGUACCAUGCCAGAGUUUUAGCAUGACUCAGGAGUUAUUCCAAGAUGUUUGUGUAUGGAUUUCAUAGCUUUUUAUAGGAGUGUCCAGAACAACUCUUUACGUUUCUUUUCCUGGCAGUGGAUAAUUUAAAUAUAACUGUAUCCUUGUUUACGAGCUUUUGUGGAGUUUCAUGUCAUGGCGAACUCAGGGUAAUUAACAUAAGCUUCGAGAUAGCUUCAACAUAGAUAAUAAGCAGGGCAUGCAGCAUUUCUUUGUGUGUUUUAAUUCCAAAAAGCAAGGAGACUAGUGAUCAAAUUUAAAUAGAGCAGUUUGGCCAUUUACGGUGUAGUAUGCUCUGCUAAUUUUGCGCCUCUUAUUCUCAAUUUAACAGAAUUCACGACCGUGGCCCAUUUGGAUGGAUUAUAAAUUUUUAAGUGAUUUACAUUAGCAAUUACCACUCGAGGUUUCACACAGAGAUUUUGGGAUAUAUAAUAUAUGUUCUUUUAUUUUCAUGCAGCUAUCAUCUCAGAUUCUACAUGAGGUUAGACAUCACUUUUAUUCAUAUGACAUUAGCUUUAAUCUAUAAAUCUUUGGCAAUGAACUCGUUAAUGUUGGACCUCAGGAAUAACUACUUUGGAUUUAGUGCAACUAUUUUGUGGAUAUUUAUGUGGUUCUCAUUUCUCCAAGUGAUUAAGGGUUGGUAAAUAAGAUUCAUGUCAAACUCUUUUAAACAUUCCUUUUCGUUUGAUGGUUACAAAUUCUGUUCGGUCAUUCCAGUCCAGGCACAAGCGGCUGAGUAAUUGAAAAGGAAAAUAGCUGAGAAGAGCAAAAUAUGCUCUUCAUUUCAUAGAGAAACGAAGAGUGCUGCUAGCACUCCGUUUAGAAAUGGAAUCAAGAAGCGGAAUGCACAUGUAUUGCGUAAACGCCACAGUUUGCAGCAGAAUGUUGAAUUAUAACUUUGUUGCCAAAUUUACCUGUCCUCACGGAAUUUGUUUGUAUGACUGCAAAGUUGUAUCAAGUCACUUCUCGUUGUUAACUACAAGCUCUUUCCCCUUAAAUUGUAACGAUUCUGAAGACAGAGAUGCUUUUCUACUCCAUUCAAUCAAAAGAACAUCAGUGGGACAAGAAGGGAAGAGAUUGGUCUGGAUGACAUGCUCUGCUGGUUUGUCUUGGAUUAGCCAUAUCAAGUGUAUGCUGUCAGGAAAGGCUUCUCUUCUGGUGCCUCUCGAGUCUGGUCAGCCAAUAUCACUAACAAAGAGAUUCAUUCAUGAGCCAUGGUAUGUGAAGUGCUUGUCACCUUAAAAUAUAUAUUUCAAACUCUAGAUUGAAGAUGACCUCUUCAAUUUUUGAAGUAUUAAACCAUAAAGGAGUUUAUUAUGAGGACAAAACGUAGCUCUGCAGCAACAAAUUAACACGGCCCAUGUUCGUGUGCAUGCUCACGUGCUUUCCUCUUGCUUCAGGCCUAAUGUUUUUCUUGAUUUCCACCGAACUGAUAAUGCAGACCUUGCAUUUUGAAUAGAAUUGGUCACCUUGGAAAUCCAACAUGGACUCUGUUCAGGCAACUGAAUUUCAAGUCUCUGUAGCCAUGAGCCCCUCACUUGCGAUGUUCGCUUUUGUCAAAUAAUACCCUCUAAUCUUCACCCC